This 1372-nucleotide ribosomal RNA is filed under the name uncultured bacterium. Its description in RNAcentral is "bacterial SSU rRNA". It matches the Rfam family "Bacterial small subunit ribosomal RNA", at positions 28 to 1381 of the family's 1533-position model. The record is from RNAcentral.
GAUGAACGCUGGCGGCGUGCCUAAUACAUGCAAGUCGAGCGAACGGACGAGAAGCUUGCUUCUCUGAUGUUAGCGGCGGACGGGUGAGUAACACGUGGAUAACCUACCUAUAAGACUGGGAUAACUUCGGGAAACCGGAGCCAAUACCGGAUAAUAUUUUGAACCGCAUGGUUCAAAAGUGAAAGACGGUCUUGCUGUCACUUAUAGAUGGAUCCGCGCUGCAUUAGCUAGUUGGUAAGGUAACGGCUUACCAAGGCAACGAUGCAUAGCCGACCUGAGAGGGUGAUCGGCCACACUGGAACUGAGACACGGUCCAGACUCCUACGGGAGGCAGCAGUAGGGAAUCUUCCGCAAUGGGCGAAAGCCUGACGGAGCAACGCCGCGUGAGUGAUGAAGGUCUUCGGAUCGUAAAACUCUGUUAUUAGGGAAGAACAUAUGUGUAAGUAACUGUGCACAUCUUGACGGUACCUAAUCAGAAAGCCACGGCUAACUACGUGCCAGCAGCCGCGGUAAUACGUAGGUGGCAAGCGUUAUCCGGAAUUAUUGGGCGUAAAGCGCGCGUAGGCGGUUUUUUAAGUCUGAUGUGAAAGCCCACGGCUCAACCGUGGAGGGUCAUUGGAAACUGGGAAACUUGAGUGCAGAAGAGGAAAGUGGAAUUCCAUGUGUAGCGGUGAAAUGCGCAGAGAUAUGGAGGAACACCAGUGGCGAAAGCGACUUUCUGGUCUGUAACUGACGCUGAUGUGCGAAAGCGUGGGGAUCAAACAGGAUUAGAUACCCUGGUAGUCCACGCCGUAAACGAUGAGUGCUAAGUGUUAGGGGGUUUCCGCCCCUUAGUGCUGCAGCUAACGCAUUAAGCACUCCGCCUGGGGAGUACGACCGCAAGGUUGAAACUCAAAGGAAUUGACGGGGACCCGCACAAGCGGUGGAGCAUGUGGUUUAAUUCGAAGCAACGCGAAGAACCUUACCAAAUCUUGACAUCCUUUGACAACUCUAGAGAUAGAGCCUUCCCCUUCGGGGGACAAAGUGACAGGUGGUGCAUGGUUGUCGUCAGCUCGUGUCGUGAGAUGUUGGGUUAAGUCCCGCAACGAGCGCAACCCUUAAGCUUAGUUGCCAUCAUUAAGUUGGGCACUCUAAGUUGACUGCCGGUGACAAACCGGAGGAAGGUGGGGAUGACGUCAAAUCAUCAUGCCCCUUAUGAUUUGGGCUACACACGUGCUACAAUGGACAAUACAAAGGGCAGCGAAACCGCGAGGUCAAGCAAAUCCCAUAAAGUUGUUCUCAGUUCGGAUUGUAGUCUGCAACUCGACUACAUGAAGCUGGAAUCGCUAGUAAUCGUAGAUCAGCAUGCUACGGUGAAUACGUUCCCGGGUCU